This 456-nucleotide ribosomal RNA is filed under the name uncultured bacterium. RNAcentral's name for it is "bacterial SSU rRNA". It matches the Rfam family "Bacterial small subunit ribosomal RNA", at positions 340 to 786 of the family's 1533-position model. The record is from RNAcentral.
UACGGAAGGCAGCAGGGGGAAUAUUGCACAAUGGGCGAAAGCCUGAUGCAGCUAUGCCGCGUGUAUGAAGAAGGCCUUAGGGUUGUAAAGUACUUUCAUCGGGGAGGAAAAAACAAAACUAAUAAUUUAUUCUUGACGUUACCCGAAAAAGAAGCACCGGCUAACUCCGUGCCAGCAGCCGCGGUAAUACGGAGGGUGCUAGCGUUAAUCAGAAUUACUGGGCGUAAAGAGCACGUAGGUGGUUUUUUUAAGUCAGAUGUGAAAUCCCUGGGCUUAACCUAGGAACUGCAUUUUUGAAACUGAAAUACUAGAGUAUCGUAGAGGGAGGUAGAAUUCUAGGUGUAGCGGUGAAAUGCGUAGAUAUCUGGAGGAAUACCUGUGGCGAAAGCGGCCUCCUAAACGAAUACUGACACUGAGGGUGCGAAAAGCGUGGGGAGCAAACAGGGAUUAGAUACC